RNAcentral lists this microRNA precursor (60 nucleotides) under Branchiostoma floridae (Florida lancelet). RNAcentral's name for it is "Bfl-Mir-12491_pre stem-loop". The record is from RNAcentral. Lineage: Eukaryota; Metazoa; Chordata; Leptocardii; Amphioxiformes; Branchiostomatidae.
UACGGCUCUACAAGCCGGGGAUGAUGAAACAAAACUAUCUCUUCCUUGAAGAGUCGUACC